Molecule: transfer RNA, 58 nt
Filed under: Xylopia staudtii
Lineage: Eukaryota; Viridiplantae; Streptophyta; Magnoliopsida; Magnoliales; Annonaceae
Description: tRNA-Leu
Source: RNAcentral
AUCAGUAUUUUUUUUUUCUGAAAAAUUUCAGAAUAGAAGGAUUGUGAAAUUGAUUCCA